UUCGGUGCGGGCUGCGAGAGCGGUACCAAAUCGUAGCAAACUAAGAAUACUAGGCACUGCUUUCCGUUAACCAGUGAGACGGUGGGGGAUAAGCUCCAUCGUCAAGAGGGAAACAGCCCAGAUCACCAGCUAAGGCCCCAAAAUGACCGCUAAGUGGCAAAGGAGGUGAGAAUGCUGAAACAACCAGGAGGUUUGCUUAGAAGCAGCCACCCUUUAAAGAGUGCGUAAUAGCUCACUGGUGGAGCGUUCUUGCGCCGAAAAUGAACGGGACUAAGCGGUCUGCCGAAGCUGUGGGUAAUAUCAGUAUUUGAUAUUACGGUAGGGGAGCGUUCCGCUCUAGGGUGAAGCAUCAACGUAAGUUGGUGUGGACAAAGCGGAAGUGAGAAUGUCGGCUUGAGUAACGAAAACAUUGGUGAGAAUCCAAUGCCCCGAAAACCUAAGGCUUCCUCCACUAGGCUCGUCCAUGGGGGGUUAGUCGGGACCUAAGGCCAGGCCGAAAGGCGUAGUCGAUGGAAAACAGGUUAAUAUUCCUGUACUAAUUUUGAAGUGGUACCGAGGGACGAAGGAGGUAACAGUUGGCCAAUAUUGGAUGUUGGCGGAAACGUUCAAGGUGAUGAGAGAUAGAAUAAAAACUAUUCUUGAGCUGAGGCGUGAUACGGUAUUAUUCACUGUCUGAGAGCUUUGCUCGAAUUCAAAAGAAUACUCAAUUAGUUAUCAAACUUCCUAGAAAAGCUCGAACUUCCAAUACUUCAAAAUUACCCGUACCCGAAACCGACACAGGUAGGUAGGUAGA
RNAcentral lists this ribosomal RNA (793 nucleotides) under Trebouxia sp. AM-2018. RNAcentral's name for it is "partial large subunit ribosomal RNA". It matches the Rfam family "Bacterial large subunit ribosomal RNA", at positions 914 to 1675 of the family's 2925-position model. Lineage: Eukaryota; Viridiplantae; Chlorophyta; Trebouxiophyceae; Trebouxiales; Trebouxiaceae. The record is from RNAcentral.